RNAcentral lists this non-coding RNA (72 nucleotides) under human gut metagenome. Its description in RNAcentral is "skipping-rope RNA". It matches the Rfam family "skipping-rope RNA", at positions 6 to 75 of the family's 80-position model. Rfam says of the family: Firmicutes, Fusobacteria, AlphaProteobacteria, Spirochaetes. Downstream gene The record is from RNAcentral.
AUGAGGUCGGAAAUGGUUGCCGACGCAUCCCGAAAGGGUCUUUGAGAUGCAGGAUACACCGCCCUGCCGUUU